GGGGGGGGCAAGCGUUGUUCGGAAUUACUGGGCGUAAAGGGCGCGUAGGCGGCCUGCUAAGUCGGACGUGAAAUCCCUCGGCUCAACCGAGGAACUGCGUCCGAUACUGGUGGGCUUGAAUCCGGGAGAGGGAUGUGGAAUUCCAGGUGUAGCGGUGAAAUGCGUAGAUAUCUGGAGGAACACCGGUGGCGAAGGCGGCAUCCUGGACCGGUAUUGACGCUGAUGCGCGAAAGCUAGGGGAGCAAACGGGAUUAGAUACCCCGGUAGUCCUAGCCCUAAACGAUGAGUGCUUGGUGUGGCGGGUAUCGAUCCCUGCCGUGCCGAAGCUAACGCAUUAAGCACUCCGCCUGGGGAGUACGGUCGCAAGGCUGAA
This 373-nucleotide ribosomal RNA is filed under the name uncultured bacterium. RNAcentral describes it as "bacterial SSU rRNA". It matches the Rfam family "Bacterial small subunit ribosomal RNA", at positions 527 to 898 of the family's 1533-position model. The record is from RNAcentral.